CAAAAUAAUCUCAGUUCCCGCUUCUCUCCUCGUUCCCCUUCUCUGGUUCUUUUUUCCCUAGAAAUGAACAUUUUUAUUUUUUUUCAUUUUCCCUCUUCUCCCCCUUCCCUUUCUCUGGUUCUCUGGUUUCUAACAAGGCCACGGAACUCAAAAUUCACAGCACAUACACCGUGACAAGCCGCGGCGCCGCUGCUCUUAGGAUUUCUGCGUGUGCGUUUCUGACGUCGAGUCAUUCGUAUUGUUGAGAUGGGUUUGCCAAUUGUCGAAUCUUCCGAUUUCAAGAUUAGUGGAGAAGAUGUGUUUAUCAUUGAAAAAGCUGAUUGUGUUGAAGAAAUCAAAUGGAAGUAGAUCAAGACCACCUCUAUUGAAAUCAGUGUAGUGUGCACAACAAACAGGCAAUACGGAGUGCAGCUAUUGCGUGAUGAAGUACAUGUACGAUAUAGUUACAAGGUGUACGGAUGUCAAGGAUCUCGAAGAGGUAUUCAAUAAUCCGAGGGAGCGGCUUUUCACCUUUGAUGAGAUAGAUGAAGUUCGAGAAAUGUUGGCAAACUCCAUUAUUAGUGAUUGUCUUUGAUAUUUUCUUGUACUGAAUGUUAAAUUAUGGAUGCUUGUUUCUCAUAUAAUUGUAAUGUAAACGACUUUUAUAUUUACAAUUAUAUACUAUUUAAUUUAAUUAUCUAUAUAAUUGGAUAGUUUUUAUAUGA
This is a long non-coding RNA of Spinacia oleracea (spinach), 704 nucleotides long. RefSeq lists it as uncharacterized. NCBI's taxonomy places the organism in Eukaryota, Viridiplantae, Streptophyta, Magnoliopsida, Caryophyllales, Amaranthaceae. The transcript has 4 exons. The record is from RefSeq and is a predicted model, not a curated record.